RNAcentral lists this long non-coding RNA (40697 nucleotides) under Vitis vinifera (wine grape). RNAcentral describes it as "long non-coding RNA (VVIN_LNC005849)". Lineage: Eukaryota; Viridiplantae; Streptophyta; Magnoliopsida; Vitales; Vitaceae. The record is from RNAcentral.
UUAAAAACAAAGCUUAAUUAAAACCAUCCAUAUAGGAGGUACAAGAACAUAAAAUAAAAACAAAACUUAAUUAAAAACCAUCCAUGUAGGAGGUAAUCAAAACAUAUUUAUAUUAUACAUAAGGAGAAAUAUCUUACAAUAUACGAGGGUAGGAAAUCUUGAAGAAAGCUUGAAAGCUUGAAGGACUUACAUGAUGAGAGAGAAAGAAGAGAGAAGGGAAAGCAUAAGCUUGAGAGAGGUUUCAUAUCUAAAAUUAUGCGUGCUUACAAAUGAGGACCGAGCCUCCUUAAAUAGGCAAAAAGGAAUCUUGAAUAGUAAUAAUGAACAGUAGACCCGUGCUUGAAUAGUGCUUGAAUAGUAAAAGUGAACAGUAAGAGGGAACUGUAGCACUUUUGACUUUUGACCCGGAAUCUUGCUUUCGACUGAAAUGACUUCUGACAGGCUUCUUUAAACUGUGUGGACACAUGCUUGCUGCAUUUGGUGCAGAAACUGCAAAGCUUGAAAUAUUCUUGAUGGAAGACAUAAGGCUGAUGAUUACUUAGAUCUUCUUAUUGGAGGAAGGAUUCCUUCACAAUCAUCACCAUUGUCUGGAAGGUAGCUUGUUGAAUCAUCAGACUUUGCAUAAGAAUUUUCUUGGGAGAAGCUUGAGCUUCCUUCUUCAAGGAUUUUUUGGAAAUCUUGAGGGGUCUUAGCUGCUGCGAGCAUGGCUUGUAACUGUUGCUUUUUGAGGAGAAACUGAGACAUAUCAUCACUGGCUGAGACUUGUGUGGGAUUCUUGAGGAAAUACUGCUUGACUGCAUCAAUAGAUGCAUCAUUUUUCAAGGCAUCCCACCAUUUAGUUUUAAAAGUCCUUCCUAGAGAUGGAAAGGCUACUGAUUCGUCUGUAAUGAUAAUAUAGUCCCACUGGACUAUCCAAGCAAGGCCAAAAUUGCUGAAAAAGAAUAGUAAAGAGGGAAAAGCUGAAAGUUCUCUGGGGAUAUCAAAAGAACUUCUGAAUAGCUCAAAGCCAUCCAGGAUGGGCUUAGGAAGAAUCUUAAUAGUCGGACCAUAAUAAGUCCACCAACUGUAGAACCAAAAUGGGAAAGAGGAAAGCUGAUUCUUAGAUGGAAAAUAGAACAUCCAUGAAUGAUGGAAGUCCCUAUUCUAGAUCAGAAAAGCAUUAAACCAUGCUCUCUGAUAAUCCCAAUAAUUAAAAAACCUUGGCUUUGAUGGUUCAGAAAAUUCCCUUGAAAGAUUAGGAUUUCCACCCCAUUGCUUGACAGUAAGAAUCUUAUAGAUAUGGCAGGUGGAGAAUGUCAAACCCAUAUUGCUGAAUUUGUCAGCAUUAUGCUUAAUUUUAACAGAACCAGUUUCUGUAAGGACUGUUUCAUAAAACUCUCUUGUUUUUAAAAUAUCACCAGAGGGAUAAUGAAAAUUUUCUUGAAAAGCUUUUACAGCAAUCUCUCUAGGGUUUUCAGAGAAAAAUUCUCUUUCAAUAACCAAAAGAGAUUGAUUUAAAUCAUUUUGCCAAUAUCUUGAUUUUGUUGAAAGAGGUGUGGGGUUGGCAGCCACCACAAUUUGCUUUUUUGAAAAAGAGGAGCUUGAUGCUAAUUCCUUUUGAGAGGGAUUAGCCUUAAUGACUUGCUUGAAGGUCUGAGACCCUGAAAUGGCUGGGUACUGGGUGGCCUUGACUGGAUUAGAUGGAUCAGAAUGAUCAUAGUACAAGGUCAUCAUCUUGUUCGGCAUAGAGUUAGAAGAAUGAAACCUUGCUUCUUCUUCUUCAACUUGUUGGCUCCAUAGCAUUUUAUGGGGAGAAGGAGCUUGACUGGAUUGGGUUUUCUGGUUAGGAGCUUGGGUAUUCUUUUUAGGGGUCAUGGUCUCAUGAACCCUGCAAAUUCCACGAGUUGAGCGAUUAAGAAUGGAACUUUCUCCUUUAAUAAACUUAAUUUGAAAAUUAGGGUUUAAAAUAAUCCAAUCAAUUAAAUUAUACUUAAAAGCUAUAUACUUAAUUGUUUUCUUAGAUGUGAAAAAAACUUUUAAAAUUCCUUGAUUCAAAACAUCAGUUUGAAAUUUUGAAAUGCAUAAAGGAAUGCUUAAAAUAUUAUUUAUAAUAAGAUUAUGAAUGAAUUGGGUACCUAAUAUCUUAGGUGGAUAAUUUAUUCUAACAAGAUUAAUUUCUUGAUCACAAAGAGUGAUGUUUUCAACAGGAUUAGCAAAUUCAAAAAGAAUUUCCUUAUCAAAAAGCUUUGUUCUUAUACCUUGGUUAUCUACCCACAAGGGAUAAAUAGAGCUUAAGAAGGGUAUUCCUAGGAGGGCUUUUUCCUUAAGAUCCUUAACAAGGAUAAAGGUUUGCUUAAUACAGAUGUCAUGAUUACGGAUAUGAACAUCUGUUAAUUUAUACUUAAUGGCAAGUCUUUUGCCAUUGGCUCCAAAUAGAGACUGACUAGUCUCUUCGCAUAAAGGAAUACGUACAAGACCUUCUUGAAGGCAAUUUUCAGCUACUCCUGAAUCAAUCAAAGCAAUAAUAUCAAAGACAAAUUUAUCUUUGACUACUAUAGUAAGGGAGACUUCCCACCUUUGGAAGAUAACCCUACUCACAGUAUUCAAAAAAGUAUCUGUCUCAUUAUCAUUAACAUGAGAAGAUUCUGGAAUAUCCAUGAGGUUUUCUUGGUUGACAAUUCUAUUGAUUUGUUCUUGGAGAUCAGAGAGACUUAGACUUAUGAAUUGUCUUAACUCCGUAAUCUCCUUUUUAUACUGCUUAACUUCUUCAUGAAGUUCCUUAAUGCUGACUUCCUUGGGAGACUGUUGGUCAAACCUAUUUAAGAUAUCAUUAAGGUUAUAAGGAUUAACAGUCUUCUUGGCUUCUACCUUAACAACAGAUUUCUUAAAAGCUUCAUAAAGAUUUUGCUUAGUCUUUUCAUCUUCAACUUUUCUUAAAGUAUCUAGGAUGAAUUCCUGAUCUUGGCUUAUGACAUUUAUAGUUUUAGGACGACAAUUACAAUUACCUUUAAUACAUUUGGCUUGGUCACUAGAAGAUUGACUAGAAACUUCGCCACUACUGUCUAGUUGAUUAAUGUCAUCUUCAUUAUCUGAAUCAGUCCUUGAUUCAGAAUCUAUGGAGUUUAACAUUACCUUACAAAGCAUAUUUUUUAGGUCAUUUGAGACACUUAAGUUAUUAAUCUUUUGCUUAACUCUACAAUCUUUUUUAUAAUGGCCAACUUUGCCACAUUUAAAACAGAUAAUUGGCUUGACAUCUAAAGGAGUUUCUACCUUUUUCUGGAUAUCUUUGUUGACCCUUCUUUGGACGUGCCUUGACUGCUUAGUAUCAUUCAUCCUAUAGUUGUCAUAGGUACCUCUGUUACUGUGGUAAAACUUAUCUUUGCUAGGCUUCCUGCUUGGUUUUUGCUUAGAGGGAGGCAUAGUUUCCUUUUGGCUGAAACCAAACUGGCUACAGAAUGAUCCAAAUUCAUUCUUGUAGAUUUUUUGUUCAUUCUUCAUUUGUUGCUUAAGCUUGAAGUCAUUGCACAACUUAAUCCCUUCAGCUGUGACAAUGCUUAUAAUCUCACCAUAGGUUAGCUUAUCAUAAGGGAUUUGACCAUUAUACUGUUCCCUUAUCUUGAUCCUAAUUCUCUCAGAGAAAAGCUUGGGUAAUCUUGAGAUGAAUUUUUCUUUCCAAAAAGGCUGGUUACAAUCUGACCUUAGCAUGACUUUGGUUAGGAAGACUUCCUUAUACCACCUAAAAUCAUGAAGCUUAGGACACUUAAGGUUGGUUAAGAGAUCUGCAGUUUUAUCUUUAAUUUUUGUAGGAUCUCCAAUGAAGUGCUUGGAUAUUGAGUAGAUUAGAGUAGCCACUGCAUCCUCUAUAUCUUGGCCAUCUUUGUCCUUAACAACUUCACUAUUCUCAUUAAUCCUAUAGGCUUUAAGGAUACUAUUUCUAUCAUCAAAAGUGAGAUAAUUAUCCCACCAACCCUUAAGCUGACCUGUAAACCCAGCAACAAUGGUUUGAGCUACAGCAUGAUUUGGCAGUCUAUUGUUUAAUUUAUAGGCUGUACUUACCAUGGUCAUUUCUUGAAGCUUAGUGAGUAUGUUAUACUCGGUCAUACCGUCUAUGUUCCAUUCAUAGAUAGUGCCACUGGUAUAUGAGGCUUGAGUAUCCUGAUUUCUUUCCUCAAACUGCAUGUCAGGAAAUGUAGGUCUAGGAUAGUAAUUCCUAGUCUUAAAGGUUUCUAAAUUGUUAAUAUCUUUUGAAAUAAUUUGAUUAUGGGGUUCCUCAAACAUUUUAAUUAGUUCAUCUGUUUCUUCUUCUGAACUAAUAUCACCUUUAACCAUAUUGAUUCUCUUAUGAGGCUGAAUAGUGAAAGGAGCAACAAGAUUAUCCUUAAUCUUCUGAUUAAUCCUAUCAACAAAAGUCUGGUUGAUUUGGGGAUUUUCCUGGAAUUCCUUAGAAAAUUCAAAGGCCUUAAUUUUAUCAGUGCUCUUAGUGUUAUUAACACGCUUAUAAGGAUAAUCUGGAUAAUCCUCUUGUUUGAAGAGUUCAAACCAAAUCCAAAACUUAAUAUUUUUCUUUUCUUGUCCUAAGUAGGCAUAGAAUUCUUCUUGGUGAAUGGAUAUAAUGACUUUAAGGAUAGUGCUAAAGAACCAAUCAUUUCUUUGCUUAUUGACUUCAGAAUAGAAGUCCUUUCUUAAGAGAUCCUUGUUGAUCUCAAAGCCCUCAUCACUUAGGCUUAUUGUGUUAAUCAUCUGGGAAUAGGUAGGAGACAUUACAAGGGACUCAUCUUGUUGGGAUUCCUGAGUAGACUCAUUUUCCAUAGUGUAAAAUGGUUUAGCCACGUUGGUGUGACUUCUGACACCUGUUAGCUUAAUAUUCUUAGGAUUUCCUGAGCUAGAACCUUCUUCUUCCCUAGUGGUUGUAACUGGGAUGGAAGAGCUUGAAGCUCUAGAGGGUUCAUAAACAGAAACUCUAGGGCUGCUAGAAUGUCUGAAAGAGUUGGAGAAAACCAGUUCUCCUCUUCCAUCAGGAUAUUGAACAAUUUGUUCAAUACUUUCAGAUCGCUGUGCAAUGGCUGGAACAGCAUUAGCAAAAUGCCAAUUUUCAGGAAACUCAACAUCUUUCCACAAGAUCUUCUUGGGGAUGAUGAAAUCUGACUUAAGAAUGAAAACACAAACUUUGGUUGAAAAAAGUUUUGUUUCAAGCUAACUAAAAAGAAAGUAAUGGAAAUUACUUAUGAAGAAAAACAUUCCUUGGAGGUUUAGGUUCACAGGGGAGGUUCCUCAUGCAAAAACAGAGCUUCGGUCACUUGGUUCAUUUCCUCGCAUUAGAGAAUUAACAUAUAGUCAAUUCUCUAACCGGUGUUGUACAGAUGCAUCCCUUAAAUGGAUUUCAGCUCUAAUUCUCUCUCACUGAUGCAACUUGCAAUGGCUCGUGCCUCUCACCUAGCAUUGCCAUUGAAGGUGAUCAUUAACUUUGGACUUCACUUCUCAAGCUCGUAAGAGAUAACUAAUGGAUGUCUCCUUGGAGUCCAAAAGCUUACCAAGUGUUGGUAAUUCUAGAAAAUCCUACCUUCAAGUCACCUCCCAAAAGCUCGCAAGAGGUAAACUAGUGCAUCUCCAUGGACGGAGAUCACUUGCCUUACCAAGUGUUGGCUCAAGUGAAUUGAAGGUGUUUUAAGUUAACUAAAAACAUAGAAAUCGUUAAAGGAUCACACUUUCUCUUCAUUAAUGGCUAAAACCACAAAGCUACUAAUUCUUGCAUUUGGAACCUUUCCCGGCAACCUUAGUUCCAAGGAACUAAAAGUCUAGCCACUCAUUCUCUGAGGAAACUUCCUCAGAGCUUGUUUGGCUAGAAAGAAAAAUAACAAGAAAACAAAAAUAUAUAUGAAAAGCAGAGCAAGUGCUCUGUAGAUAUAUUUUUCUUCCUCCCGCCGAUUACAUCAUUAUAUAUGAUCGAUGUCUUGUGUAAAGAAAAUUACAAACUAUAUAUAAGAGGUUAUUCACCAUUUGUUCUUACUUAAAGACUAAGGAAUCCUAUGAUAGGUGGGUUACAAGGAGAGUUUAGGGAUUUAGACAUCAAAUAUCUAAAACAAAAAAUCUAAAAAUGUCGGUUGGGAAGCUUCAGGAGAAAUUCCGUUUCACUGUGCAAAAUGGCUGCGAAAAUUUCGCAGCAAAAGGACAACAUUUUCGCAGCCAAAGGCUGAUUUCGCAGCCGUGCAACAUUCUGCCUUCAGCUUGGAGUGAUCUGCUUGCAAUGGCUGUAACUCCUUCAUUUCAACUCCGAAUUGUGCACCGUUUAAAGCAUUAGAUUGUUGACUUCCUGAGCUUAGAAACGACAUAUAGCAUGCUAAAUUGGACUUCAGGAAGUGCUCUAAAAGUGGCUGAAAUGAAUGUCAUCAAGAAUGCUUCAUGGCAGAUUUCUCUUUGCUUUCCCUCCUUGCAUUCCGGAUUUGCUUAUGGAAAAGGACUUUAAAGCUUUGGUUCUUCAUGUUUCUGAGCCUUCCAUUGCUUUGCCAUGGAUUCCAAAGAACUCUCCUCAAUCUCGGAUUGCUUUGGUGAUCAAAAAGCUAUCAAAACACCAAAACUUAACACAAUUUGAUUAGAAUUGAUUGCAAGGGUCCUUAAUAUGUUAAUUGGGUUAAAAGGUAAUAACUAUUACUCAAAAGUGUUUAAAAGAGUUAAUUACAAGCUAUAAAAUAGCACUUUUUGAGUAGUAAUCAUCUUUUCAGGUUUUCGACUUAGCGAACCUUUUUUUUUUUUUUUUUGGUGCGCCAUACGCAAUUUAUGCUCAUGCAAGCUAGGGUGUAGUGUGAGUCAAGCAUAAUAACACUUUAAGAAUUUUUCAUUGAUAGGGCCAAUUCUUAAUCCGUCUUUGGAAAUGAUCUUAUAAGCACCAUUGGUGUAAACUUCUUGCACCACAUAAGGUCCAUCCCAUUUUGAUGUAAAUUUGCUCAUAGUCUUAUGUGUGGUGAUGAUGGGUCUACAAAUGGCAAGAACUAGAUCACUGAAUUGAAAAGAUUGAAGGCAAACCUUUUUGUUGAAAGCUCUUGAAAGGCAUCCUUGAUAACACUCUAAGUGUUGUUGGGCUUCGAGUCACUUUUCAUCUAGUGCUUCUAACUCUUGAAGACGUAACUUGGCAUUAUCUUCAUCAGUUAGUCCUUCAUAUAUAGCAAUCCUUAAUGAAGAGAUUUGACACUCAAGGGACAAUACAACUUCUACACCAUAAAUGAGGGAAUAAGGGGUUUCUUGUGUAGGCAUUUGAUAUGUUGUUCGAUAUGCCCAAAGUGCUUCUCCUACUUGUUCAUGCCAAUCCCUCUUUAACUUAUCAAUAAUUUUCUUCAAUGAGUUGCAAAGAGUCUUGUUGAAUGAAUGCUUCUAAGAGACCAUUGACCGGUGCAUUGUACAUUGAUGAGUUGUGUUGUUUGAAAUCGAACCUCUCAUAGAGAUUGCUCAUCAAUUUGUUAUAGAAGGGGGUUUCCCAUUGUCAGUGAUUAUGUAUUGUGGCACCCCAUAUCGAUAGAUAAUAUUCCUUCGAAUGAAGUUCACUGUAUUUUUUUUUCUUCACUCCUUUAAGUGGCAUAACUUCGACCCAUUUACAAAAAUAAUUUGUUGCUGCCAAUAUGUAAGCAUGCCUAGUAGAGGAUUUAGGAGUAAUGGGUCCAACCACGUCAAGUCCCCACGUAUCAAAUGGCCAUGACAUAAUUGUAGGAUGGAGUGGCUCAAGGGGUUGGUGUAUAAAAUUUGAGUGGAAUUGGCAUCAUUGGCACUUCUUUGCAUAUUCCAUACAAUCCUUGACCAUAGUUGGCCAAUAGUAUCCCAUCAUUUUGAUUCGAAAAUGAAGUUUUGGCCCUAAUUGGUGAGCCCCACAAAUCCUAGAAUGAGUUUCUUCAAUUGCUUGAUUUGUAUCUUCUCCUCCUAAGCAUCGAAGAAGUACUCCAUCGAAUGAGCGUCGAUAAAAUGUUUCUUUGUAGUAAAUGAAGUGUGGAGCUUGACAUCAUAUUUCUGUUCGAUGCCUUAGUUCAUCAGGUAACUUCCCAUGCUCUAAGUAGUCAAUUAAUGGUUGUUGCCAAUCUUCGCUAUCAAUAGUGAAUAUUGAUGUAACAUUUACUUCUUCUUUUGUAAUAUUGACAAUGGUUGCAGUACCCACUUAUGGCAAAGAGGGACAUGUACAGUCUUGUCCUUAAGCAGUGUUAAACUUGGAACUAGAUUAGCUAGAGCAUCUGUCAUUUGGUUUUCUUUUCAUGGAAUAUGAACUAAAGAGAUUUGCUCGAACUUUUCCAUCAGUUGGGUAGCAUAUUGGAAGUAAGGAACUAAGUCAUCACUUUUAGCCUCAUACAAGGCUAAAAGUUGAUUGAUUACCAACUUAGAAUCCCCACAUAUUGUGGUAUUCAGCAACGUUGUUAGAGCAUUUCUCACUAAGAACAAAUGAAUAUGGUAAUAUCUGUCUUUGUGGUGAGACAAAUACAACACCUGCACUUGUUCCAUCAUAACGUGCCGACCCAUCAAAGAACAUAAUCCACGAAGAAAAUACGUCAACAUAAAAGAUCUCCUCAUCAGGGAAGUCAUUUAAAAUUUCCCAUUCUAUAGGGAUAAGAUGAUCUGCCAAGAAGUCUGCAAGUGCUUGCCCUUUGAUUGCCUUUUGAGGGAUGUAGAUUAUUUCUUACUUAGUGAGUAACAACCCCUAUCUUGCUAAUUGUCCUAAAAGAACGGGCUUUGAUAGCACAUACUUAACGGGAUCAAUGUGUGCUAUUAAGUGUACUGUGUAUGCCUGCAUGUAAUGUCUUAGCUUUUUUGUCGAGAAGAUUAAAGAAAGACAAGUUUUCUCUAUUGAGGAGUAAUUUAGUUUUGGUCUUGUUAGAGUUCAACUUAAGUAAUACAAUGCCCUUUCUUUGUUUUCAUUUUCUUAUGCAAGUAAUGCUCCAAGAGAGCAUUCUUGUGCGAUGAUAUAAAGUAACAAUGGCUUCCCUUCCAUAGAAGCACCUAAGAUUGGUGGAUUAGCCAAAUACUUUUUUAUGCUCUCGAAGGCAUUAUGACAAGCUUCGUCCCAAACAAAUAGGACAUCUUUCUUCAUAAGUCGGUUGAAGGGUUGACAUUGUCCUGAAAGGUUUGAAAUAAAUCAUCGAAUGAAAGCAAGACAUCCUUGAAGACUUCUAAGUUCUUGAAGAUUCCUAAGCUUUGGCAUAUCUCAAAUGGUUGUGAUCUUAGAUUGAUCCACUUCAAUGCCACGGUGUCGAACAAUAAACUUUAAAAACUUACCAGAAGAAACACCAAAAGCAUAUUUGAGCAGGUUCAUUUUGAGUUGGUACCUUCUUAACCUGUCAAACACCUUACGAAGAUCUCGCAGGUGGUAUUCUAUCUUCCUAGACUUUAUAACCAGGUCAUCAACAUAGCACUCGACAUUCUUAUGGAGCAUAUCAUCAAAGAUUUUCUGCGUAGCAUGUUGAUAUAUAGCACCUGCAUUCUUUAGUCCAAAAGGCAUCACUUUGUAAUAGUAAAUACCCUUUAGUGUUCGAAAUGUAGUAAGCUCUUCAUCCCUUGGCGUCAUUCAUAUUUGAUUAUACCCCGAUGAUCCAUCUAUGAAGGAUAAAGCUUCAUGACUAGUAGUUGCAUCAACCAUGAGCUCGAUGAUUGGUAAUGAGAAGUCAUCUUUUGGGCAAGCAUUGUUUAAAUCUCUGAAAUCCACACAAACACGGAUCCACCCAUUUUUUUUCUUAACUAGAAUGAUGUUCGCAAUCCAUGUCAUGUACUUUACCUCCCUAAUGAAACCGACUUCAAUCAAUUUGCCAAUUUUUGUUUCUAUUUGCAAAACAAGUUCCAACUGAAAUUGUUUUUGGGCGUACUUAAUCGGUCGAACACUAGAUGUACUACAACUUUUGGAUCAAGAAUUGACAUUUCUUUGUACGACCAUGCAAAGACAUCUUUAUAAUUGAGUAACAACUCAAAAUAACUUUUCUCUUCAAAAGGAAUUCAAAGCAUACUUACAUAGAUUGGCCUUGAGUUUUCAUUUGUUCCUAAAUUGAGCUCUUUUAACUCAUCGAUAGUGGGUUUCCCCCCAUCCUCAAAUACUUGAGGAGCUUUCCCUGGUUCAUCUUCUGAAAAUUCUGAAUUAGAGUCAACUUCUACUGUAACAUGGUAGCUAGUGUGCAUCGAACUUUUUUUAACAUCUUUAGGGCAUCUCUUGUUUGACUGCUUGGUGAUCAUGAUGGUACGUCAUUUUACUUUUAACGAACCAUUAAAACAUAUUUCCCAAGUUGAAUGGUGCUUCAUCCUUGAUGGGAUAAUACUCUUUGUCUUUGCAUCCUCUUUUAGUUCAAUACACUGCUUCAUAUUGGGAUUUCCUCGCCAUGACUUUUGGGAUAAAGUCCCAAUUCUUUGUUGUAUUGACCUUUGUGGAAUAUGUGCUAAAUUACGUUCUACUUGGUUUAAAUUGCCCAACCUAGUGAACACUAAAGCUUGUACAAUUGGAGCUUCAAUCUGAUCAAAUACUGAAAUUUGAGGAGGAGAAUUUGACCGACUACUCUCGUCCAUGUAUUCUACAAUGAUAUGUUGUGUACUUGCCUUAGUCUUCUUAGUCUUUGUUGAAAUUUUGAUAGGCUCGAAAGGUAUAAACCCUAAACCCUCCAUAGAAUGUUUGACUGCAUACCCUUGUUGUUUCAACUUCCUUUGAGUUUCGUUAAGGCCAUGCAUCUUUGCACCUGUAGUCUCGGGGCUAAGUUCUCCUAAUUGUGAUGAUGAAAUGAAGUCAUACCCUGCCUUGGCUAGUAACUUGUAAGCCUUAGGGUUGAACCCCUCAUCUAUUUUUUUACUAGGAAAUAAUUCUUUCUUUGUUUGAUCUCUUAAGGAUUUGAUGGAUUUUUGUGUUUCAUCCCUAAAGAUAAGUUGUAAGUUUGGAAGGAGAAUGGUCACAUCUUCUUUCAAGACUUGAAGGUCCCCAUUUUCCAAUCUUCGAGGUUGUACUUCUCUUUUGUCUUCUAUGAAAGGUGGUUGACCCUCACUUCGUCGAGAUCUUGGGAUGCACUUAAAAACUGGGGAAGUAGUGACAAUCAUCAAGUCCAUUGUUGCUGUUUGUGAGGAUUUCCCUUUUUCUUCAAUUCGAUUCAUCAUUGGUUGUGAAAUUUUCUCUGCUAAUGUCGACUUACACUGCUCAACUUUUCCCUUAAGUUUAGCCUUCUUAGUGGAGGGAAUGAUUGUAGGAAGGACUUCCUCCAUAACAUCAUUUUCUAUGUAAAAUUUAGCGUCAGCAAAAUAAGACUCGACUUUUGUAAAUGGCUUAGUAUCAACUUCUACUUUCUUUACUCCUCCUCUAUAGAAUUUGAAACACUAGUGUAGUGUUGAAGGAAUUACCCCAUUCUCAUGAAGCCAUGGUCGCUUGAGUAAUAUGUUGUAAGAUGUUUUUGCAUCGCUUACAUGAAACAAUGUGUUUGAACUCAACUUACUCGUAACAAGCUCUAGGCGAAUCAUACCAAUAGCUUGUUGUCCCCCUUGAUUAAAGCCUUAGAUCAUUAGGCGACUCCGAUUUAGUUAUUUCGUAGCAAUCCCGAGUUGUUUCAUUGUUGCUUUGGGGAUGGUAUUUACUCCCGACUCUCUAUCAAUUUAAGAUGAGAGUGAUAUUUUGUUCCCGUAUGUACCUGGUAACAAACAGAGGUCGAUUAUGUUGUUUUAACCCUAAUUGAAGGUCUUCAUUGGUAAAGGUGAUGGUUGCACAACAUUUGGCACAAUUGUGGCUUUCAUCCUCAAGCCUUUUUGCCCCUUCUAUUUUGGUGGCAUAGAGUGUUGGAUUAUAAAGUACUUGAAUCAAUGCAUUUUGCAUCUCAUUAGGAAGUUGUAGCAUUUCAUGGCUACUAAACAGUUAGGGUAGGUGUUGUAAGCUUGCUACUACCUCUUCUUUUUCCUUAGUUUUUCUUGACUUAACACCAAGAAUGUUUUCCUCAUAUUCACUUAACCCUUCUUCUUUUAAAGUCUCAUUGCAAGAGACAAUAUGAGUUUAUAUUGUCACCCUUUUAUCAAAGAACCCCAAAGGGAAGUAUUCCUCUAGGGUGAUAGGGGUGAUAAAUUUUUGGAUCAAAAGGUUAUCUAUAUGUAUAAUCACUUAUUUUCUUUCAGGAUUCUUUUUUUUUUCUUUAGAUGUUGACGAGUAUUCCACUCAUGUUGUCCCCUUCUAGGAAGGUUAGGGUAUGAAUGCGACACUUGCUUCUUGUGAGGUCUUCUUCGUGUCACCAAUGUCCAACCUUCUUCAUCAUAUGACAUUGAUUUAUUAUCAAAGCAAAGGCGAAGAAGGCUAUCCUAACAUGACAUUUGUGUUUGCUUUGGUUUCAGUGACUUGCAUUGUAUAGUAUUAGCACAUGCCCCCAAUUUCUUAAGUGGAAACAUGUAAUGGAACAAGAUCAUAUGACCCAAAUGUGACUGUAACAUGAUUUGACUCUACUACUUCAUCCAGAUCUAAAUGAAUUCUUCCUUGCUUUGCAAGUUUCAUUAUGAGAUCUUUUAAAAUGAAACAUUUCUCCACAGGAUGACUAACAAUUCGAUGGUAAUGACAGUAGUUUGGAUCAUUAACAUGACCCAUUUCUUUUAGACGCUUGCACUCAAGUAACUUAAUAACCUUUUUCUAAAGCAAGUCUUCCAACAUGUUAGGCACAUUAGAGUCAGGAAAAGGAUAAUUCUUCUCCUCUAAUCCCUUUAAGGUGAACUAACGCUUAUCAUUUUCCUGGGUUGGCCUGGCCUCUUUGACUUCCUUCUUUUUAUCUCUUGUUGAGAUUUUGACAGGAGUCGUAUUUAUUGUCAUUGACUAUUAGAUGGGUUUCUUUGAGGUCUUGUCACUCCUUUUCCCAUCAUGUCUCUAUCUUUGUCGAUCAACAAUAAAGUCCUUCUUAGAACCAUGGUUGGCUAUGCUGAGCUCCAUGUCAUGUGAUCGGGUAGCUAAUUCUUCAAAUGUACUGGGUCGUAUCCCUUAGAGAAUGUAUAGGAGAUCCCAAUGCAUUCCUUGUAUGCAUAUCUCCACAGCUAAUACCUUAGAUAAUCUAUCUUUACAGUCAAGGCUUAAGGAACGUCAAUGAUUACUACUCAAAAAGUGCUAUUUGAUAGCUUGUAAUUAACUCUUUUAAACACUUUUGAGUAGUAGUUAUUACCUUUUAACUCAAUUGGCAUGUUAAGGACCCUUACAAUCAAUUCUAAUCAAAUUGUGUUAAGUUUUGGUGUUUUGAUAGCUUUUUGAUCACCAAAGCAAUCCAAGAUUGAGGAGAGUUCGUUGGAAUCCAUGGCAAAGCAAUGGAAAGCUCAGAAACAUGAAGAACCAAAGCUUUGAAGUCCUUUGCCAUAAGCAAAUCCGGAAUGCAAGGAGGGGAAGCAAAGAGAAAUCUGCCAUGAAGCAUUCUUGAUGACAGUCAUGUUAGCCACUUUUGGAGCACUUCCUGGAGUCCAAUUUAUGCAUUCUAUAUGUCGUUUCGAAGCUCAGGAAGUCAAAAAUCCAAUGCUUUAAAUGGUAUGCGAUUCGGAGUUGAAAUGAAGGAGUUAUAGCCAUUGGAAGCAGAUCACUCCAAGCUGAAGGAAGAAUUUUGCAUGGCUGCGAAAUCACCCUUUUGCUACAAAAUGAUUUCGCAGCCAUUUUGCACAGUGCAACGAAAUUUCUCCUGAAGUUUCCCGAUAUUUGCGACCCACACUUUUGGAUAUUUUGCUUCAGAUUUUUGAUGUCUAAAUCCCCAUUUUCUCCUUGUAACCCACCAAUUAUAGGAUUCCUUAGUUAUUAAGUUUGGAAAAGGGGUGAAUAACCUCAGAUAUUUUAUUUUUUAAUUUUCUUUAUAUAUAGCUCUCGGGAUCUUGUUCUCAGAGAAUCAACUUUUUGUAUAGUUUGAAAGGAAGUAAAAUACAGAGCUUUGCUCUGCCUUACCUUCUCACUUUGAUUGUAUUUUUCAUUCACUAACCAACCAAGCUCUGAGGAUGUUUCUUUAGAGGAUGGGUGGCUAGGCUUUUUGUUUCUUGGAGCUAAGGUAGCCGGGGGAAGGGCCAAAUGCAAGAAUUGGUAGUUUUGUUGUUUUAGCUGUUAAUGAAGAAAAAGUGUAACCCGUUUAUGAUUUCUAUGUUUUUAGUUAACUUAAAACGCCUUCAAUUCACCUAAGUCAACACUUGGUAAGGCAAGUGAUCUCCGUCCAUGGAGAUGCACUAGUUUACCUCUUGCGAGCUUUUGGGAGGUGACCCGAAGGUAGGAUUUUCUAGAAUUGCCAACACUUGGUAAGCUUUUGGACUCUAAGAAGGCAUCCAUUAGUUAUCUCUUGCGAGCUUGAGAAGGGAAGUCCAAAGUUAAUGAUCACCUUGAAUGGCAAAUGCUAGGUGAGAGGCACGAGCCAUUGCAAGUUGCAUCAGUGAGAGGGAAUUAGAGCUGAAAUCCAUUUAAGGGAUGCAUCUAUACAACACCGAUUAGAGAAUUAACUAUAUGUUCAUUCUCUAAUGCGAGGAAAUGAACCAAGUGACCGAAGCUCUGUUUUUGCAUGAGGAACCUCCCCUGUGAACCUAAACCUCCAAGGAAUUUUUUUCUUUAUAAAGUAAUUUCCAUUACUUUCUUUUUAGUUAGCUUGAAACCAAACAUUUUUCAACCAAAGUUUAUGUUUUCUUUUGAAACUAACCUUGAAAUGAAAAGGCACCAAUUCAACGUUGAAUUAAUAUCAUUUGUGAAGUGAAAACCCAUCCCAGUGAACGAUCCUAAAGCCACUAUGCUAUAGUAGCUUUGUCUUUGCUACCCUAGUACAUGGUGUAAUAGGUUAUAAAUUUUGUUGAUUACUCCCUCAAUCAAGGAGCACUAGCUAGACAUGAAUCAGCUGAGACACCAAUUGGGCACGAAUCAGUCAACAGUUGAUAUAGUCUACAACCGGCUCGUCUUUCCAUUGCUUAGUGUUAGUAAGUUCCAUCAUGCUUAUAGUUCAUUGAGUGCUAUAGAAGCAGUUGAGGAAUUCACAUUCCAUUUGGUCUUAACUAUAGAUACACUUAGGUGCAAGGUCUAUGUACCAAUCGAAAGCAUUCCCUCGGAGAGAAUGAACGAAUUGUUUAACUAAUAAGUCACCGUCUCUACCUACAUUGUUACAAGUUUCAAUGAAAUGGGCAUCAUGUUGUUUUGGAUUUCCCUUCCCAUCAAAUGACUGAAAUUUUGGAGGUUGAUAACCCAUAGGCAUAUGUAGGUUAUCAAUCCUCUUAGUGUAAGGUUUAGAAUACAUGAGUGUACUUUGUGAGGGUCCACCAUACUGUACUCUAAUGGUGUUAGUUAUCAUAUCCUGAAGUUGUUGGAUAAAUAAUGACACCACUGAGGCAGAUUCCGUCGUUUGUCUCUCAACUUACAUUGUCCUAUACACAUGCGGUGCAUCAUCAAGAGGAGAUGCAAUAUUUGGAGGUGGUUAAGUCCUUGACUUGACUCACCCGUAUUUUUUACUUGUGCCUCAACCUUGUUUAUGAGAGAAGCUAUCUGAAUAUCCUUCUCCUCGACCGUCUUGGUGAGUUUGGCGAUGGUGUGAGCCAUCUCUGCUAAUUGUUCCUCUAUGGAUGUAGUGUUGGUUGCCAUUAUCGGUAUAGUCAUCGAGAAGGGAGAAGUAAAAGAGUUGGAAUGAUUGGAGUAUUUAUGCUCUUUUGACAUUCCAGUUAGUGAUCCGGAAAGUAAGCCGGUGCUAGAGUUGGCAUCUGUAAUAGAGCAAGGAGAUUUAUUCCCAAAGUCCUGUAGUGUUUAAGGGAGUUUUCCCCUACUACGAGGACUAUGGCUCUUUGCCCUCAGAGAGACCAAGGUGAUGAGUGGUUGGUGCUCAUCACACGUUCUUACCGAUUUUAGCAAAUAAGCAAACUCUCUUGUUUGUUUUGUUGAGAGUGAAGAUGUUAAUUUUGCUUUGCUACGAGUCAUGGGGCCCAUAGCGGUGUCGUGUGUCGAUUGUGCAAUGACAAUCUUGUCAUUACCCUUGUUGACAUGCACAACUUGAGUUAUUUUGGGUGCCAUCGAUGAAGUAGAGAUCAAUCUUCUAACAAAAGAGAUGAGUGACAGGGAGGUCCCACUAGCGUGCCAGAAAUUUGUACACACAAAAUUCGUAAAAUGGUCCUGCAAAAUUAGCAAAACAAAUAAGAAAAUAAUGCGAACACAAUAUUUAUUAAAAUAAAAAUAUUGUGGUUAUAAUAUCAAAAAAUAAUAUUAUUUCCAAAAGAAUAUUUUUCCCCUGAUUCUUUUACCUUGAUCACACUUUGGAAGACGACGAUGACGUUUUCUAGAUUUCGAAAAUCAAUCAAGGGCGACAAUUGGCUUAUUCUCAAAUGAACUCGUUGAAUGGCAAAGAACACGUAUAGUUUUUAUUUUACUGUUUAUCAAACUUGCAAGGAGAUUUGAUGAAGCUUUUUCUUUUGUUGUGAAGCCUCUUUUCCAAUACGAAGUUGCCUUUAUAUUUUCUUCCCAAGUUUUUCCUUUUUUUUUUUUUUUUUUUUUGAAUUUUUCUGAUUUCUGAAUUUCCUUCCUCCCUUCUUGAUAGAAGACACCUCUAUUUAUAGGUGAAGAUAGGGAAUUUGAAAUUCAAAUUCCCAAAUUUUAGUUGCUUAAUUCAAAGGAUUUAGUUCCUUGAUUUUAGCAAUUUUUCUUCUCCCGAAGGUUUUACUAACAAAAUAAUAAUGAUAAUAAUAAUUUUCUUAUUAUUAUUAUUAUUCUUUUUAUAGUUGGAGAUUAGGGAAACUUAUCCAUAAAAUGAUUUUUUUUUAAUUCAUUUUGAAGACCAAAUUAGUGGUAAUUUAAUCCACUAUUUUUUUUUUUAUGGCUACAGUACAAUGGUUAUGUAAAAUCAAUAUGCAGUAAGUAAAAAAAGGAAAUAUUUGCAAAAAAAUAUAAACAUUUGUGGAUAUAUUUUUAUUCAUUAAAUAAAGAUAAUAAUGAAAUAUUAGUAGAAAAUAUAACAUUGGAUUAGGAAAUUUAUCAAAGAUUUGCAUUUGACCAAAUUUAUAUUUAAUUUUCUCCAAAUUUAUAUCUCACUUUUCAUUCCUAUAAACAUAGAUUAAAUCAUUGGCAAUUAUACCAACGUAUGCCCUCUAGAAUCUAAACAAAGACGAGUCAAAUUUAACAUUAUUAAAGCCAUAGGAAUGCUUUUUCCAAUCCAUUUUCCAUGUCCAAUUGCCAUAAAACUAGUUCAAUUCCGUCAUUUCAGAUUAUACAAUUCCAUAUCCAAGACUCGUUAAAAAAACUGCUGAAAGUUUUUUUCUUGUCUCAUCAACAUGAUUUCAUACCAUAAAUCUCAUAUUCUAUUAUAUAUCCUUUCCAUUAUUUUCAAAAUUUUGUAUCUAUGAUGAAAUUGCAAUAUGUUUUCAUUUUUUAAGACAUAAAGUAGAAUUUGACCAAAAAAAAAAAAAUCUUCAUUUUUUUAUGUCAGAGGAAAUUGAAAAAAGUGUUGCACCAAUACAAUUAUUUACAAAUCGAAUGAGCCCGAAAAUUUUUUUAAAAAAAAAUUUGAAUCUCAAAAGAAUGACAAGGUUUAGAGGUCGGUGAUAUGUUUGGUGCAACAUAACAUGAACGAUCAAGAAUAAUGGGUAAAACUUUACAAACUUAUAUUUAUGACAAUGUGUAUUAGUUGAUAAGUUGGUAGGUUUGGUAUAUGUGUAUUUAAAUUCAAAUUAUUAUCAAAAUGAGAUUGUAACAACUUCAAGUAUAUAAUAUAAAUAUUGUAUAACCUCUCAUUGAUGAUCAAGAGGGGCUUUUCAUCAUUUCAGAAUUCUUUUUGUUUUAAAGAGUAAACCUAUUUACUAAUAGGGUGGAAUCAUCCCAACUUUGGUUUGAAAAUAAUAUGUCGGGAGAUACAUUGGUGCUACCAAUGUUUCAAUAGAAAAACAUCCUAAAAUAAAGGAUAAGUAAUAUUAAUCAAAAUUACACACUCAUUUAACAAAAAAGAAAUAAAUUAUAAGGCUUGAAAAAGAAUUUCAAAGUGAUAGAGUUGAACAUAAUAAGUGGAAAAGAUCAUAACAUGGGAGAGCAGGUUUUUUCUUUUAGAAGGUUAUGGAGAUACUAUCCAUCACAUUUUGGACCUUUUUAUACAAAUUUUCCAUAAUUGAGGUAAUUUCGUUGAAUGGAAAUAAUAAUUUAAGGAUUUUUUUUCUAUAGUUAUUAAUAAAACUUAAUAUCUUUGGCAUCAAAUGUGGGGAUUAGGUGUCAUUAGCAUGGUAGUCACUAGACCUCUUGUGCUUUGCCCCAAUAAUCACAUCAAAGUAAUCCACAAUCCUUACAUCUUGUCCAUCCAGCUUUUGAACAAAGUUGAAUAGCUUCGGGAACUUGUAAAUAUAUAAAUAUUAUCAAAAGUUGAGAGUCUAGAAAGUUGGGUUGAGAUAAUCCUUCUUACUCCACUCCAUCUCCAUCAAUGUUGAGAAUGGUAAUUGUGGGGACCUUCUUCCACGUGUUAGUUCACAUGUUAAUCCCCUCGAUACUAUUCGGAUAACUUUCGAAGUGCACAGAUCAUUCUGCCUGGAUCACACGAGCACCCUUCAAGCAGCACCGGACUCCCGAAGCGCACGACGACUUCCAACCGACCUUGAAGUCCUCCUUUCUACGUGAAAUGAUUUCCAUCUGAAAUGGGAAUGACUUAUGGGACCUUCUCCCAUCCUCGCGUUUACAUUAGUGGAUUGUUACACACUAUCCCAUACCCUCAGUAGGUUGAAAAGACGAGCAACUACAUCAUGAUGCACCAUCUGACUGCACUCCCAGCCACCCUAAAUUGUAAUGAUUGCCCUACCAUCUAUAGAACAACCAUCAUUGCAGUAAAAUUCAAAGUGCCAGCUCAGCACUACAGUGCCUCUCCCCUUGAGCACUAUAAAAAGCCCUCCUGAAGCAUAACCUAGGUAGGCACUUUUAAGCUGGUUACCUCACUCUCCUCUAAAUAGGGUUUUAACCCAUCUGUGUCUAACUUAAGCUUUGGAGGGGCUUGCCCGAACAUCCUUUGUGCAGGGAAGAGGUUCACUUAGUUUGUUGUUGCUAGGUCGAGGUUCUGAGUGGCACAACAUAAGGUGGAUUUGACUCUAGUUGACCUCGCAUCAACAUUGGCGCCGUUUGUUGGAAGAAGUUAAGGAUGUCAACACCCUCGAGAAGCCGAUCGUCAACUAUGGGUAGCGAAGGAUACUACGACUAGAAUAAAAACAUGGAAAGACGCCAGCAAGAGAGUGAACGACAAGUGCAGGCCCUGCUUCACAAGACAAGGAGACUUUGAGAAGAGAAUGACAUGUUGCGUAUCCAGGUAUCUUCAUCAGGCCCCUCUCAUAGUCGACAGCCUAAAAGCCAGCAAAUGAACUUUAAACAAAACAAAGAGGUGUCCUUUCCCGUAAAUGAAAAGUUCUCCCCUGAUAGUCAAGAGGUGCGGCCUGAAGAGAAGUUUCCACCAACUAGUCCAACACUGCUAGAUGAAAGCUCUGACUCCACCUGCAUCUCAAUGUAAAGGAGACAUGACAAGAGGUCGCAACUAUCUGACGCAAUGCGCACAUGGUUAGGGCCUCAAACACUUGACAUGAAGGGAAGACAACGUGUAGCAAUGGGCCAGGAGGUUUGCCCUAGUCCCUCAGUUGCAGUGGUCAUGCCAGACUGGCUUCCCUAGCCACCAACACAACCAUAUACAAGGCCUUUGACAGAGCGAGGUCCACCUGGCUCUAUUAGUAGACGGCUGGAUGACAUGCUCUCCACACCCUUUCAGCCCUUACAUCAUCGACUAUGAGCCCCCGAGAGGGUUCAUGGUGCCAAAAUUCAUGACAUACAACGAAACAAGUGAUCUGUUUGAUCACAUCAUGCAUUACAAGCAGAUCAUGACCCUUGAUAUAGGGAAUGACACACUAUUAUGUAAAGUCUUUCCAGCUAACCUGCCGACCAGGCUCUAUCAUGGUUCCACCACCUCCCAAAGAACUUUGUGAGUAAUUUCCAGGAUCUAUCAGAAGCCUUUGUGGGACAUUAGCUAUGUUCAACAUGACACAAGCAGAACAUAAGUACCCUGCAAAACAUAAAGAUGUAUGAAAAUGAAUCCCUAAGAGAGUUUGUGAAAUGGUUCAAACAAGUCGUGCUCUAAGUAGAAUUGUGCAACAUGGAUGCCAUCCUGCCAAUCUUUAAAAGAAGCAUCUGUCCUAGUACACCUUUAUUUGAAUCUCCUGUUAAAAAAACACCUGUAAUGAUGGACGACCUGUUCAAACUAGCAAACAAAUACUCAAUGCUCGAAGAUGACGUUCGUGCGACCACACAACGGUGUUGGUUACCAGUUGACCUACUAGAAAUGACCAUGCCGAAAGCUCUAAGCCCUUAAACCAACUGAGGCCAGCUGGCAAAGGGAGGGACAGACAACAGAAACCAAGCCAAGAUAGCUUAACCCCCCUUAACAUUUCAUAUGAAAAACUCUUCCCCAUGAUCCUUGAGCUGUUUGAUUUUAGAUGGCCAGAGCCAAUUAAGAUGGAUCCAACCAAAUAGGACUAGAACUGAAAGUGUACCUAUCACAAAGAUCAUGGCCACACUACUGAAUAAUGUAGAAGUCUCCACUACUUAGUGGAAAGAUUAGUCAGGGUUGGGCACUUAAAGUAGUACAUCCGCUUAGAUGGAGGACGAAGGGAAACAACUCGGGAUUUAACCAUCCAAGCACCCACGACUGCAACAGCUCUUAGAGCUAUCAUCAACUACAUCCAUGGGGGCCCCGUUGAUGAGAAAUACAAUUCCAAAUGGAAAAGACAAAGAUUACUCUGAGCAGCCUCCGUAAGAGAACAAGUCAGUUCCAUCCAACACGACCUGCCAAGUGAGGAUACACGCCCAGUGGAUGGGAUAAUUACCUUCCCUCCAAUAGACCCCAACCGAGUACUUCAACCACAUGAAGAUGCCCUGAUCCUAACACUAAGGAUAAGCGAUUUUGAUGUAAGAAGAAUUUUAAUCGAUCUGGGCAACUCAGUUGACCUUUUGCAGAUGUCGACAUAUAGGAAAAUGGGGCUACCACCAUCUACCCUGGAGAAUCUCGGGCGGAUAUUGUCCGGAUUCAACGGAGCAUCGAUAACUUUCCUAGGGGACAUUGUGUUACUUGUCCAGACUGGCCCAAUCACCCAAAAUGUGCAGUUCUCAUUAGUGAAGGAUUUGUCCCCUUUCAACGCCAUCAUGGGAUGCACAUGGCUCCAUAGCAUGAAGGUCAUCCCCUUCAUGUAUUAUUAGAUGUUAAGCUAUCUCACCAAGAAUGGAUAGAUCAAUCUUUUUGGCAGUUAGCUGGCCAUGCGCCAGUGCUAUCAAGUGGCACUCGGGUCCGGAUCCCCAAACAGCAGCAAGCAAUGCACGGAACCAAUGAAUGCAGAGAAGCAAUAGAAAUUACAUAAUCUGGUGGACAAAGAUCUAUCAGUAGUUGAUCCACUCCAACCCUUAUGUCUCUCAAGUAGUAGUGAUCAUGUCACCUACACCAGUUCCCUCUUAUCACCGGAAGAGUUAAAAAUACUAGAAGGAGUGCUUUAGUAGAACAAGGAUGUCUUCGCAUGGACUCACUCUAAUAUGCCCGAAAUCCAUCCAUCUGUAGCCUCACAUUGGCUUAAUGUUAUACCUUCUUCAUGACCCAUCCGCCAAAAGGUCCGAUGCAUCCACCCGGAUAGGCAAAAGAUCAUCCAGUCCGAGGUAGACAAGUUGCUAGUAGCCAGAUUUAUCAGGAAAGUGGAGUAUCAGGAUUGGUUGGCGAAUAUUGUGGUUGUUCCAAAAAAUGGAGGAAAGUGGCGAGUCUGUGUUGAUUACACCAACUAGAACAACGUUUUCCCAAAGCAUAACUUCACAUUGCCUCGAAUAGAUCAGAUAGUUGACUCCACUGUCGGACAUGGGAUGCUCUCUUUCAUAGACGCAUUCUCCGGAUACCAUCAAAUCCCUAUGUUUUAGCCGGAUGAGGAGAAUACCGCUUUCGUAACACUGCACGGGUUAUACUGCUACAAAGUCAUAUCGUUUGGGCUUAAGAAUGCUGGAGCCACCUACCAAAGGUUAAUGACAAAAAAUUUUAAACCUCUAAUAAGCCAGAUCGUGGAAGUCUACAUUGACGAUAUUGUGGUAAAAAGCAAAACUAAGAGCGAACAUGCCCUACACUUAGAAGAAACAUUUCGGCUAAUGAGAUCGUAUAGCAUGAAGCUCUACCUAUCCAAAUGUGCCUUUUGUAUCAGCAUGGGCAAAUUUAUGGGGUUUAUGGUAACACAAAUAGGAAUAGAAGUCAAUCCAGAUCAAAUAAGAGUUGUCAUGGAGAUGUCUGCCCUAAGUAAUAAGGAGUUACAACGCCUCAUGGGCCGCUUAGUUGCUCUAGGGCGUUUCAUAGCCCGAUUUAUAGAUAAGUUGUGGCCCUUCUUCCUUGCACUAAAGGGGGAAAACACAACCAGAUGGACAAAUGAUUGCAAACAAGCUCUAGAAAAAAUCAAACGCUACCUCACCCAGCCACCCAUCCUGAGCUGCCUUGAACCCGGUGAACAACUCUACAUGUAUUUAGCAACGUCUGACUGUGUAGUCAGUGUUGUUCUAAUUCGCCACAUGAAGGAUAAAGAACAAAGGUCUAUCUAUUACGUAAGCAAGGCAAUGGUUGGCGUUGAAACCCGAUACUUUAAGAUGGAGCAAACAACCUUGGCCUUGAAAAGCGCCACUCAAAAGCUUCGCUCAUACUUCCAAGCCCAUCAAGUGACCAUGCUCACAAACCAACCACUCAGAAGCAUUUUGCAUAGACUAGACCUAUCCAAAAGAAUGUUAAAGUGAGCCAUAGAAUUAAGUGAGUACGAAAUCAAAUAUUAACCUAGACUGGCACUGAAGAGACAUGUCAUGGCUGACUUUAUAACUGAGGUCCCCUAAAGACCAUUCCACCACAUAGAUUCCCCCGAAGAAAAAUGGUGGAUACUUCAUGUGAAUGGAGCAUCCAAGGCCUCAGGCUCUGAGAUAGGCCUUGUUUUGCAAUCAUUAACUAGGGAGCAGCUAGAACAGGCUAUCCAACUUGGUUUUCCUGCCUCCAACAAUGAAGUUGAAUAUGAAGCAACCUUGGUCGGGUUGGAUCUCGCCCUUACUUUAGCAGCAACUAAAUUGAGGAUAUAUAACGAUUCCCAACUGGUCAUUGGGCAAAUCCAGGGAGAAUACGAAGCCAAGGACAAGUGUAUGGUUCGCUACCUUGUACAGGUACAAGCUAACUUAGCAAAACUAAGCGAGUGGGCCGUUGAGAGAGUGACCUGAACAAAAAAUAAAAAGGCUGACACCUUGGCCAGGAUAGCUACUACUCUCCUUAUAAAGGAGGCAGUGUUACUUCCCAUCUACCUCCAAACCACAUCCUCAAUCACAACGACAUUAGUGUGUAGCACCAGUGAGGAAAACACCAACUAGAUGCGCGAAAUUGAGACAUACCUUAAGACGGGAGAGCUACCUGAAGAAGAAAAGUAGGCCCAUAAGAUCCUGGUACAGGCUACCUGCUUCACUCUAAUCGGGGACAACCUCUAUAGGUGUCGGAGGACCAUACCUCAAGUGUUUGAACAAUUCGAAAGCAUAGUAUGUCCUUGUUGAGCUCCAUGAAGGUGUGUGCAACAAUCAUGUAGGCGGACAUACCUUAGCACAUUGUGCUCACUCACAGAGGUAAUAUUGGCCCACCAUGAGACAAGACACUGAAGAAUAUGUCAAAAGGUGUGAUCGGUGCCAGAGGUGCGCUCCCAUUCCUCGAAUGCCAUUCGAGGUUCUCAAUCUGGUCAUGAGCCCUUGGUCGUUUAUGCUAAGGGGAAUGGACAUAGUUGGCCCAUUACUCGUCGCAGCUGCAUAGAAAGAGUUUCUACUCGUAGCUACCGAUUACUUCAGCAAAUGGGUAGAGGCUGAGGCCUAUGCCAACAUCAAAGACAGAGAUGUCUUCAAGUUUGUCUGGAAAAACAUCGUCUACCGGUUCAGGAUCCCAUAAGCGAUUGUAGUAGACAACGGGCUAUAGUUUGAUAACAUUCUCUUCAGAACCUUUUUUUCGAGUUUAAAGAUCAAAAACCUAUAUUCCAUGUCUCGCUAUACUCAAAGCAAUGGGCAAACAGAAGCCACAAAUAAAACCCUACUCACUACACUGAAGAAAAGGUUGGAGGAGGCCAAAGGAAAGUGGGUGGAUGAGUUGCCUAGGGUCCUAUGGGCUUACCGGAUGACCCCUGGAUGACCUAUUGGAACCACCCCUUUUGCUCUUACCUAUGGAAUUGAGGCAAUCAUCCCAACCAAGAUAGGCAUGCCUAUAGCUAAGACAGUCGUCCAAGGUCAAAGAGAUGAAAAUCAAGAGCUUGAAAGACAUUUGGAUUAGACAAACGAAGAAAAAGGAAAUACAGCAAUCCAAAUGGCAUCCUAUCAACAAAGGGCCAUCACCCACUACAAUAAAAAGGCACGACCACAAACGUUCAAAGCUGGGACCUUAGUCCUCAGAAGAGUCUUUGAAAACACGACUGAAAAAGGAGUUAGGAAACUCCAAGAGAAUUGGAAAGGACCCUAUGUUGUGGCUAAGGCUGGAGACUCAGGGGCAUACCACCUGCAAACACCGAAUGGAGUGCCCCUACUCCGCCCCUGAAAUGUGUCUAACUUGAAGCAAUACUAUCAGUAAAUUUGGGUUGAGGAAGGAAAAGUGUGCACAAAAACAAAGGAAGAAAGAAACAAGUAUUCAUUAAAAGUAAAAUUGUUCCUUACAAAGCUAAAUCUAGUUAGAAUGAUUGAAGAAAAGAAAAAUACAAGCAUAAGUCAUUGCCCAUCAUAGGGGUCAGUUGUAGAAGGAACUCCAUCUCCUUGGUUAGGGUCGUUGGGUGCUACGAACUCGUCAUUAGAAGGAUAACUGGGGGUAUCUUGGGUGAUGUCGUUCUUCUUUAUACAACAUUGGUAGUUGAAGAAGAACAUGUCAUCGACUUGCUUUUGGUAUUCACCCUCCAAUUCCUUCUUCUAAGCAACGAACCCUGCUCAGAGAUCCUCCAGAUCUUUCCUUAACCAUUCAUUCUCUUGUUCGACUUUUCUACACUUGGCCUCUACAGUCUCCCCCUCCUCUUUCAACCGACGUGCCUCAGCUUUGGUUGCCUCCCUUUCCUCUUCCGCCUUCCUCAGCCACUCGGCUCAGUCUGUAGUAGCCUUUUGAGCAGUAGAGAGAUUGCCCUAUGUCCGUGCCAUCUUAGAGUGCAGUUCUUUACUACCACCCAUCUACUGGUUAAUGAACGUUCUCAUAACUUCAACGACCUCCAGUCGUUUAAAAAGUGAGGCAUGUUGCCUCAUUAGAUUGCGGACGUCGACCACUAUCCGUAAGCGACAUUAAAACAAGUGUAAAAAAUCAAAGACUAAGGAAACUCAAACUAUGGAGGAGUAGAACUUACCAUUUCCGUCGUCUCGUGAGCUUAAUAAUCCUACAUUGGUUGGACGCGAGAGACGAUAGAUUUUGAAGUAUUGUAUGGAAGUCGAACAAUGAUAAUGAUGGAGGGAUUGUCAUCCAAGUCCACUAAAACCCACUUGGUGAGAGGAAAAAAAUUCACCAUGUUGGUCGAAAGAGGCUCAGCCUCAGUAAAGCAGGGAACCUGCUUCAGUAAUGUUGCCAUCUCCUCCAGCUUAGGAGCGCGAGGAGGCACUGGGGCACCUUUUUCAUCAAGGUCGUCGUAGGCAAGGGCCGGACCAAUAAAAGCCUCAUCUCGUUCUAGGCAAACAUCUUUCCCUGUAGAGGGCCUUGGAUCUGGCACGCUACUAAGCCCCGCAACAUCAGCAUGGGGCAUAGGCGCUAGGAGAGCAUCUGAAAUAGGCUCCAUACAGGGUUCCUCCACACAGGACCUCUUGGCAAGAGGGAGAGCGACUGCAAUGGAUUCAAAGAGGCACUUACGCUGCCUUUCUUUGAAUCCAUCUCAAAGGUUUGUCGCCAUGUCUUCCUCCUUUUCCUCCGCCUCACAGAUGAUAUAAGGCACUAUGGACUCGACCUUAGUUUCUGAAUUAGCCCCUGCAUAAUGCAAGUCAGCCUCUAAGUCCUGCUCAGUACUAGCCGCAGAUGAAGGGGCAGAAGUAGAAGUAGACGGAGAAGCGGGAGUUGGAUCUAGUGCCUUCUUAGCAUCCUGAGCGGCAUGUUUCUUCUUCUUGAUCGGGGGGCGGAUAGUGGAACUUGUGGCCGUACGAUUUCUACCCAGGGCUUGUCUUAGCAUCACCUUCUGACGCUUCUUCUUCCUUUGAACAAGCCGGUCUUGGUGGGCCUUUGCGUCAACCAUACGUGCAACCUUGUAGAAGGGAAGAUCCUUUAGAAUGUGGUGUUCACCAAGCAUCAGGACCUUUGGAAUUGAUCAAAGGAUGAUGGGAAGGAUGUACGACAGAGGAUCCCGAACAACUGCCAACAUAUUCCGAUUCGUCAAAAGGGUUUGGUAAUUUAUUUCACUUAUAGAAAUUAUGAAUAACUUAUUGAGGUGAUCGAAGGAAGCCUUCUCCACCCACUCCACUAGCCAACCUCUUUUUUCCAUGCCUGUAUCACAUAAAACAAAAAUGUUAGUACCAGAACUACAACUAGUAAACUACAAAGGGCAUGCAAAAGAAGAUGAAGCCAAUUCUACCCAAAAUACUUAAUGUGCGGCGUGGGUAAAAGCCCUAAUCUGGAUGCUCAAGUAAACCAGCCCACGGGCUCUAAACAAGGACGUGCCCCCUAGUCCCGCCCUUGUUGAAGUCUAGAAGCCCAGUCACCAAUUGGAGAGAAGGGAUCUGAGCGGACAGGUUGAAUAUACCCUUUUGGCUCAUCUUGAUUCUGUAAAUGAAGAGGACCUCUAGCAGGGAAAGGUCCGGAUGAAAAAGCAUGUCUAGGAUGCUGUAUCCCAUCAACACCCUGAUAGUAUUCAAAUGAAUGAAAGUUGGAGGAAUUUUGCUAUAAUGGAAGAACUGUUUGAAGAGCGAAGGAAAGGAAAGGCAAAGCCUUGCAUUGAAUUGCUCCUUGCUAAAGAAGAUGACGUUGGGAAACUCCUUCUCAGUAGACGUAGGAGCAUCAUCCACUAAAUCUACGAAGAUGUCGUUCGGAAUAUGGAAACACUCCCAAAACUCCCGUUCAAUAAGGAGUUCAAUAGGUUUUUAUGAACAGGCACUACAAGAAAUUUGACCUUCAGCCACAAAUUUUUUGGCCAUGAAUAUAAUUUCAUCUCUAAAGAUGAUAUUAGGAGACGAAAUUUGAGUUUGUUACGAAAAUUUGUGUCUAAAGUUUUAAUUGAAUGUAAAAUGAGGCCAAAUUAUUUGUGACGACAUCAUAAUUUUUAACAACAAAAUAUUUCAUGGCGCAAAAUAUAUUGGGAGACAAAAAGCUAGUGUCGUCCCAAAAGGUAAAUAAUGGGUAACAAAAUUAUGUUGUUGUAAAAUAAUUUUGGAGAGAAAAAUCCUAAUAAUGGGAGACAAAAAUAUUGUCCUAAUACCACUAGAUGAAUGAACAAAGAGAAUUAUUGGAGAAGAAAUUGUUUUAUUGUAAAAACUCAAUAUUGGAGACAAAACUAUUUCAUCCCCAUUAAAAUGCAUUUUCCAUUUUCAAAAUAAAUUUAUCACUUUUAAAUUUAUUUAUACUAUUGAAUACUUAACAUGAUUUAUUUGUUUUUUGAGAAAGUUUCAUGGUACUUUAAUAUUCAUGAAACAACACAAUUAUUAUUAAAGAAAGUAAAUAUUAUUUAGAAAUAAUGUGAUAAUGUUAUUAUUAAUAUAUAUAUAUUAGAAUCAAGAAUGAAAUUAUCGGUAAUUACAGAUAUAUCGGUACUUCCAUUUCACGGAUAUAUUGGAAAUAUCAGAGAAAUAUUGGUGGAGCAAAAAUUAUUUAAAAUUCAUAGGAAUGCUUGGAAAAACUCCAAAAAAUUAUCAAAUUAAUAAGCAAGAAUACACAUUUUAGAGUUAUUUUGUAAGUGUAAUUGACAUAGAUAUGAUCAAGAAGAAAAACAUUGGUAGAUUGAGAUAUAUCGAUAGAUUCAAUAUUUGAAUUUUAAGAAUAAUAAAUAUGAAUUUUGGAAGUGUAUAAAGUUAGAAUUGAAUUAAGAAAUAUUUGAUUUAUUGAAUAAAAACAAUUUAUACAUAAAUAUAAUACAUAUGACAUUGUAAUAAUCUUUGAUAUGAAAAAUGAAAAUUAAUGUGGUUUUAUUAUAUUUUUAGAUGAAAGGAACCCAUUUUGUUGAAGACAAUAUUUAUUUUAAAAUUUUUAAAAUACUUUUAUUAAAAUAUGUUUUAUUACAUUUUAAAUGAAAAAUUAAAUUAAUUUAUAUAAAGUAUUUUAUUUGAGAUUUAAUUUCUAAAAUUUAAAAAAAAAUAUAUAGUAACAACUUUUUCCAUUAACAUUAAUUAAUUUAAAUAAUUAAAAUAUUUAAUAAUUUAUCUUAUUGAAUUAAUUUUAAUUUAUAAAAUAUUUUCUAAAAAAACCGAAAUUUGAAUGGUAGUUAUUUAAUCAAAAUAAAGAUGAUAAUUAAUAAUUAUUUAUAUUUGUUCUCAUGAUUUGUCCUUUUUUUCUUUUUUUUUUUCUUUCUACUAAAUUUAAAAAUAAAAAAGGCCACCCAACCACUUUUUUCACUCGGGCAUCAAGAACCCCUUUUUAGAAGUUGCCCUCCAGACCAACGAAUCCCUAAAAAGGCCCUAUUUUCCUCUUCCACGCUCAAUCCUCGCAGGUACUAAUCUUAUUCCUUCUAUUUUCUUUUUUUUGCAACCUCCGUUUGAUUCCAAGAAAAUCCAUCCCUCAUUCAAUUUUCGGGAAAAUUCAUUCUCGUUUUUUUUUUUUUUUUUUGCUUCCUGUGUAUUCUGGAUCUGUUCUUUGAUUCCAAGAAAAUCCAUCCCUCAUUCAAUUUUCGGGAAAAUUCAUUCUCGUUUUUUUUUUUUUUUUUUUGCUUCCUAUGUAUUCUGGAUCUGUUCUAGGGAUUGCUUUGAUUUUGUACCAUUGGAUUUAAAUUUCAGGACCUUUGCCUGCAAAUCAUGAUCUGAAAAACACAACCUUAUGUUUUACAUCCACAAUCUCGGAGCCCUUGAGUCCUGGGAGGUCGCUGAUUUGGACGAGAGCAUGAGCAGAUUGAUGCUCUCCUCUUCAUCAUCCAAGAAAGAUUCCUCUUCCUCUUCCUUUCUCGAUGCCUCGGUACCAGCUUCAAAUUUUUCUUCUGCUCCGGCUUUGUCGUCUUUGUUGGUUCUGGUUGGUUCCGGGAUGAUUUCUGAGGACUCUAUCAACCAAAUGGAUCAGUUUCUUCGGGAGGCUCUGCAGAAUCCGCGUGAGCGGCUGUCAAGUGAGUUGCCACGCUCCAGGUAUUGUUUUUCUUGGGUUUAACUAAAAAAAAUUGUGUUGAAGGCCUUUUUUUCUUGGUAAUAUGUCGUUUUUUUUUUUUUUUGGUAGUAUGUUGCUUCUGGUGAUAAUUUAGGUUUUUGGUUUGGUUUUAUUGUGUGUUUGUUGGGUAUAAUAGAGCAAUUUGGUUUGCUAUGUUCUCGUUGGUUAUAAAAAAACUAUCCUAAAAUUUUUUACUUCAAAAUUGGAAAAUAUUUAAAGAAUUGGUAAGUAAUAUUGUAAAAUAUUAAAUUGCCUAUAAAAAAAAUUGUAAAAUAUUAAAUGGAAACAAAAAUAAGAAAAAGAAAUCAGAAUAAAAAGCUUUCCUAAACUCUUCACAAAAAUCCUCCAUCCUGCUUCUCCUUAAAUAACAUCUCCAUUAUUUCAAACCCAUCACCAUAUUCAUUGUCCAUCACCACGGACUGCCAUCAACUACUUCUGUUGCUCACCAUAGGCUGCUGCUGUUGCUGAUCUUGGUGUUCUACAACAUUGAAAAAAAAGAGCAAAUCAGGUAUGUUAUCACUACUUUAUAUUUUUAGGUAUGUUAUUAGUUACAUAAAUAGUCUUUUUAUUAAUUAAAUUUUCAUCUCUUUUAAUAGUUCUAAUAAAAUGUUAUUAAUCUGAUUUUAUUUACUAUAGACAUUCAAUUAAUCACUUAAAUAUCUAUAUUUGUAUUAUUGUUGUUAUUAAGGUUAAUAUUGCUUUAAUAUUAUAUUUUAUAUGCUUUUACAAUUUAAAAAAUAAUUGAAUAAGAUUAAAUAUCUAUAUUUGUAUUAUUGUUGUUAUUAAGGCUAAUAUUGCUUUAAUAUUAUAUUUUAUAUGCUUUUACAAUUUAAAAAAUAAUUGAAUAAGAUUAAAUAUCUAUAUUUGUAUUAUUGUUGUUAUUAAGGUUAAUAUUGCUUUAAUAUUAUAUUUUAUAUGCUUUUACAAUUUAAAAAAUAAUUGAAUAAGAGUAAAUAUCUAUAUUUGUAUUAUUUUUGUUAUUAAGGUUAAUAUUGCUUUAAUAUUAUAUUUUAUAUGCUUUUACAAUUUAAAAAAUAAUUGAAUAAGAUUAAAUAUCUAUAUUUGUAUUAUUGUUGUUAUUAUGAUUAAUAUUGCUUUAAUAUUAUAUUUUAUAUUCUUUUACAAUUUAAAAAUUAAUUGAAUAAGAUUAUAUAUCUAUAUUUGUAUUAUUGUUGUUAUUAAGGUUAAUAUUGCUUUAAUAUUAUAUUUUAUAUGCUUUUACAAUUUAAAAAAUAAUUGAAUAAGAUUAAAUAUCUAUAUUUGUAUUAUUGUUGUUAUUAAGGUUAAUAUUGCUUUAAUAUUAUAUUUUAUAUGCUUUUACAAUUUAAAAAAUAAUUGAAUAAGAUUAAAUAUCUAUAUUUGUAUUAUUGUUGUUAUUAAGGUUAAUAUUGCUUUGAUAUUAUAUUUUAUAUGCUUUUACAAUUUAAAAAAUAAUUGAAUAAGAGUUGCAUCAUACAGGUUUGACUAAUGGAUAAAAGUUGGAUGAAUCUUUGCGAUAGAUUGUCAGAUGAAUAUGCAACUGGUGUUAAAACAUUUCUUCAAGUUGCAAAAAAUCAUGUGGAUCAAAAUGGAAAGACUCGUUGUCCAUGUAAACAUUGUCAGAAUGCAUUUUGGAAAUCCAUAUAUGACAUUGAAACCCACUUAUAUAAAUACGGAAUAGCCACAACAUAUCAAAGAUGGAUUUUCCAUGGAGAAAAAGUUAGUGUUGAUUACAAUGAAAGAAAUGAUAUGAGUGGUCCUAAUAGGUUAAAUCAUCAUGAAACUUUUGAUGUUAAUGAUGAUGUUGACGACGAUGAUGAAAUGAUUGAACUUUUGAGUGAUGUUUGUGGCCCAAUACCAAAUAGAGAUGCUACAUCUGAGACAACUAAUGUAGAGACCAAACAUUUUGAUGAGUUGUUAGGUGAAGCUGGAAAAAAGUUGUUUACAGGGUCUAAAUUUUCAUCUUUGACUUUCAUUGUUAAAUUGAUGCAUCUAAAGGUUCUUAACCAUUGGAGUAAUAAAUCAUUUGAUAUGUUACUUGAAUUGUUAAGUGAGAUAUUUCCUGAAGGUACAAAUCUUCCAUCAUGUACGUAUGAUGCUAAGAAGAUGUUACGGGAUUUGGGUUUAGGGUAUGAAAAAAUUCAUGCUUGCAAGUUUGAUUGUGCAUUGUUUUGGAAAGAAAAUGAAUUUUUAGAUAAAUGUCCUAUAUGUGAUGAGGAUCGAUAUAAGAUUAAUGAUGGUAAGGGCAAGAAAAUCCCACAUAAAAGCUUGCGAUUUUUUCCUCUUAAACCAAGAUUACAAAGACUAUUUAUGUCAAGGCAUACAGCAAGUGAUAUGAGGUGGCAUAAAGAAAAGCGAGUAGAUGAUGGUGUGCUAAGGCAUCCGGCUGAUGCUGAAGCAUGGAAGUCGUUUGAUAGAAUGUACCCCUCUUUUAGUAGUGAAUCAAGAAAUGUGAGGUUAGGUCUUUCAUCAGAUGGUUUUAAUCCAUUUGGUAACAUGAGUCACUCAUAUAGUAUGUGGCCUGUUAUACUAGUGCCAUAUAACUUGCCUCCUUGGAAAUGCAUGAAAGAACCAUUCUUAAUGAUGUCACUUUUGAUUCCAGGUCCACAUUCUCCUGGAAAAGAAAUCGAUGUUUACUUACGCCCAUUAAUUGAUGAACUCAAAGAGUUAUGGCAUGAUGGCAUAGAGACUUAUGAUGUCUCUAUUGGUCAAUAUUUUAAAAUGAAUGCAGCAAUUUUAUGGACAAUAAAUGAUUUUCCUGCGUAUGGCAUGUUAUCCGGUUGGAGUACCAAAGGUUACAUGGCUUGCCCUGUUUGCAAUGUUGACACAUCAUCUCAAUCAUUGAGAAGCAAAAUAUGUUAUAUGGGUCAUCGUCGUUAUAUGCCGACUAAUCAUCCUUGGCGUAAAAGUAGAUUGCAUGAUGGUAAGUUGGAAAUGAAUCCAGCACCCCAAAGUUUUUCUGGUGAUGACAUAUUGAAGCAAUUAGAAAAUGUUGAUCAUGUUAUUUUGGGUAAGAAUCCAAACAAAAAAGAUAAGAAAAGGAAGCGAAUACCUAGUGAAUUAAAUUGGACCAAGAGAAGUAUAUUUUUUGAAUUGGAAUAUUGGUCAAAAUUAAGUAUAAGACAUAUUCUUGAUGUUAUGCAUAUUGAGAAAAAUGUAUGUGACAAUGUGAUGGGGACACUAUUGAAUAUUGAAGGGAAGACAAAGGACACAUAUAAAGCUCGAUUAGAUUUACAAGACAUGAAAAUAAGAAAGGAGUUGCAUUUAGUGUUGCAUGGUAACAAAUACUUGAAGCCUCAUGCAUGCUACACAUUAACAUCAAUGGAAAGAAGAGAAUUUUGUGCUUUUUUGAAAUCAAUCAAGUUUCCUGAUGGAUAUGCCGCAAAUAUUUCAAAGCGUGUGAACAUAGAAGAUGGAAAGAUAUUAGGUCUCAAAAGUCAUGAUUGCCACGUGUUGCUCCAACGACUUCUCCCAAUUGGAAUCCGUAAAUUUCUAAGGAAGGAUAUUAGUACAACACUUACAGAACUCUCAUGUUUUUUCCAAAAGUUAUGUGCAAAAUCAUUGAGGAUACAAGAUUUGGAAAUAUUAGAACAUGAUAUUGUGUUGAUUCUUUGUAAGCUUGAGAGGAUCUUUCCACCUGCUUUUUUUGAUGUUAUGGUACAUUUACUUGUACAUUUACCACAUGAGGCAAAACUUGCUGGACCUGUUGGACUUAGAUGGAUGUAUCCUAUUGAAAGGUAAUAUUUAUAAACUUUAUAUUCAAUUUUAAAAAUUAAUUUCUUUAACAAUUUGAAUAAUGUUUCAAUGACCUUUGUUUUUAUUCAGGAUUUUAUCGACUUAUAAGAGUUAUGUAAGAAAUAAGGCUUACCCAGAAGGUUCAAUAGCAGAGGCUUAUAUUGUGAAUGAAUCAUUAACAUUUUGUUCUCAAUAUCUUCUUGGAAUUGAGACUAAAUUUAAUCGACCAGAUCGAAAUGUUGAUGAUUUGAAUGAUCAGUCAAAUGGGUUUUCUGUUUUUUCUCAAAGAGCUCGCCCAUUUGGAAGUUACCAGCAGCUUGAGUUCUCUCGUGCCGAAAUAGAGAAAACUCACUGGUAUAUCUUGAACAACUGUAAAGAACUACAAUCAUAUUUAUGGUAAGACAUAAAAUUAUUUUUGCAACCAUUUAUAAUUAUUUAUGACUCAAUAGCUAAUUAAUGCAGUGUACUAACAAAAAUGUGUACAACUAGUGAACACAUGGAGCAGUUGGAAAAGGAAACCGAUGAUAAUUUAUUUCAAAGGCAAAAACAGCUAUUCCCAAAAUGGUUUGCGAAUCAUGUAUGUAUAUCUAAAGACAUUUUUUCUCUUAAACAAAUUUAAUUAGAAUGAUAUUCUUAAUUACAUAUCUUCUCAAUUAUGCAGAUGAAAAUAUUACGCCAUCAAGGAUCACCAGAAGCUACUGAUGAGUUGUAUUCAUUAGCCUCUGGACCUGAUCGUAGAGUAUCUUUAUAUCAUAGUUGUGUGGUAAAUGGAAUUCGAUUUCACACUAAAGAUCGAGAUGAUCGACACAUAACUCAAAAUAGUGGUGUUCUUGUAUUGGGUGACCAUUAUGAGGAUAUGAUUGAUUUCUAUGGUGUGUUGCUGAAUGUUGUUGUGUUAGAUUAUAUCUUCAACAACCAAGUUGUUCUAUUCAAGUGUGAAUGGUUUGAUACUGAUCCCAAUAAAAAGAGAUUGCUAGAUGAUGGUGUCCUUAGGUGCAUUAAUGUGGAUAAUAAGUGGUAUGAAGAAGAUCCUUAUGUUCUUGCAAGCCAAGCACAACAAAUCUUUUACGUAAAUGAUCCAAAGUUAGGAUCAAGUUGGAAAGUGGUGCAAAAAGUACUUCAUAGACACAUAUUUGAUGUCCCAGAGCAAACUACAACAAAUGAUAGUGAAAAUGAUAAUGAAGAUCCAACAAUAGAAGAAGCAUAUCAAGAAAAUGAUUCAACUGAUAUUGUUUGGUCAGUAAACCAAGAUUGUAAUGUUCUACAAUAUCAAAGGGCAGAUGGUGAUCCAAGCUAUAUUGAUAUUGAAAAUGUGGUUGAUCAUGGGAGAAGAUUUGAAAAUGAUGAUUUAACUGCUUUCAUAAAUGACCAAGAUGAAGAAGAUGACACACUUGUAGACUAUUGUAGUGAGGAUAAUGAAAAUAGUGAUGAAGAAGAUCAUGAUAGUGAUAGUGAUAGUGAUAGUUAGUUUUAUUAUUUUAAUGUCAAUUUCAGUUAGACUUUUCUUGUUUAUCAUCUUAUUGUUUUUAUGUCAUUACAAUUUGAUAGAGUUGCAUAAAAUAAUUCAAUUAUGAUGUUCAUAUGAGUUUUGAAUUUCAUUUAGUUUAAUAAUAUAGUAUUAUGUUUAUAUUUCAUAUCAAAUUUACAUUUUUUGUGCUAUUUUGAGUUAUUUAUUUAAUGCAUAUACAUGAUGUAUCCCCUAAACUAAUUUUUUUUUUAAAAUCUCAUUUAUUACAUCUUAUGUGGAAUUGAAGAACAUAAAUGAAAAUAUUUUAUGUAACUAUGUAUUUGUCUAACUGAAUUUAGUGCAGGAAGUAUUAUCAUAGAUGGAGCGUGGAAAUCGACGUCGCCUUAAAUAUACUUCUAACACUAAGUCUCGAGCUCCCCCCAAGAAUAUGAAUAAUCAUACUAAAACCACUAUUAGGGUUGUCUCUCCUCCUCCUCCUCCUCCUCCACCACCACCACCACCACCACCUCUUCCUUCUCCUCCAAUUUCUUCAACUCCUACUCCUACUAAUAGUAAUAUGCCAUCAUCAAUGCAGACAAUAGUUAGGAAUAGCACUGGUAAGAAUACAUUUUUUAAGUUUUUGUAUUUAUUUUUAUCAUUAACUAUGCAUUCUAACUUUGUUUUUAAAUUGUAGAUUCAUAUCCACCAUUAAAGAAGGGUCGUGGACCUACAAGAGGUAAGGGCACAGAUACUAUUGUACAAAUGUCAGGGAAAAUCAAGUUAGAUUUCAACACAGAGAGUGGAAGACCAAAAGAUAGUGAUAAAUCUGCAAAGUUUUCUAAUGAGUGUAGCUAUCUCAUUAGAAAAUUUGCUCCACUACAAUUCGAGAAAUGGUCAGCUAUUCCAGCUAUGGAUACACAACCAUUAGUUGAUCGCCUUUUAGUAAGAGUUCUUAUUAGUUAAAAAUGUUUUAAUUAAUUAGUUAAUUUAUAAUUAUACUAACACAUUAUAAUGCUUUUUAUUUUAUUUUUAUUUUAAAUUUCAGUCAAAAUUUGAUCUAGAUAUGUCAAAAACAUACAUUACAAAGUAUGUGCAUGAGAUUAUGGGACAACGUUAUCGAACAUAUAGAUAUGAUCUUCACCAGCAUUUCAAGCAGUUUGAGACAGUGGAGGAGGCACGUUUGCACCCACCAGAUGAUGUCACACAAGAAGAUUGGGAUUACUUGUGCAAUCUUUUUUCUCUUGAAAAAUUUAAGGUAUUGUGCAUAUUUAACAUAAUUACAUAUGAAAUAGUAAACAUAUUUGAUGUUGUGUGGGUAUACUAGAGCAUCUUGAUCAUUGGUAUUUGGUAUAUUUUGAAGUAAAAAAGUAGGAAUUUGUCACUUGAAACAAGUUGAAAAUUGAAAUGUUGUGUUGGAUUGUUGGUUCCUUAUGAAUAAUUAAAAUAUUAUAUUAGAAUGUUUGUUUACCAUGAAUUAUUGAAAUGUUAUAUGUAUUAGAAUGUUGGUUUAUUACCAAAAAUUAAAAUUUUGUAUAUGAGAAUAUAUAUAUAUAUAUAUAGUAUAAAUAAUGGAGAAGAUUUUACUAAAAUCUUGGUAGAAAGACUACAUUUUAUUACAUGUUUCAUUGUUUGUAAGGUUUUUAUUUAACAUAUUUUCUUAAUUCUUAGGUUACUAUAAUUUGUUUCAUUUUCUUUUACUUACUCUUUUAGUAAUAUUAUUGUGUAGAAAAGGGCUACUAUAAAUAGUGAAAAUCGUGAAAAGCUUCCAUUCAAUCAUCGUGGUGGAUCUAAACCAUUUGCAUUUCAUCGUCAGCAUAACUCAAUGGUAUGACAUAUUUUUCUAAAUUAUAUCUUUAAAAUAAUAGUUUUAUUUUAUUCUAUUUAUUUAAAAGACAUGUUCCACCUAGAAAGUUGAAAAAGGAGUUUAUUAUUUAUCUUUAAAAAUAACUAAAUUAUUUUUUUAUGUGCAUGUAAAAGAGUGUUGCCACUGGAGAGUUGCAAGGGGAAGUGGAGUUAUUUCGUGCCACUCACUACAAUGAAAGUAAGGGAUGGAUCAAUGACACAGCUAAAUCUCGAUAUGUAAGAGUCAUGUUACUUGUAGUUGCAAAAAUUAAAAUUUUCUUUUCAUUAUAUGUUAUGUAACAUGUUCACUAAUUGAAAACUAUAUUUCUUAGGAAGAGAUGCGUAAGCUUCAAGAGCAGAGUACCCAAGAUGGAGAUACUCCUAUCUCUGACUUGGAGAUAACUCAAAGAGUACUAGGGAAGCGAUCAGGUUAUAUUCGAGGUUUGGGAUAUGGGUCACGACUUAAGCGUUCGACUACAACUGAAUUUCCUGAUGAAGAAACAGAGAGGUUACGACAACAAAUCACAAAGUUAGAGGAGUUUAAAACAACAGCUACCACUCAAUUAGAGGAGUUAAAGGCAAUGAUCCAGACUUUGAUGCCAUAACAAACCAACACUUCUAACCAACCACCACCUCAUUCUAGCUCAACUUCCCAACCACCACCGUCACCAUCGAGUUGAUAUUAUUAUGUGGUUUGCUAUUAUUUAUUGGUCACUUUUAUUUUAGACAAUAUUCGAAUGGUACUUGGACAAUGUUAUUUGCACGUAUGUUUUGCAUUGAUGAAACAAAUGUUUUAAUGUUUACUUAUUUUCUAUAUAUUAUUCUAUUUUUACAUUAUUAAAUGUUUUAUUUAUAUAAUAUCAUUGUAUAUUUGAAAUCGUUCAAUAUCAUAUAGGUUUAUGUAGGUUUCAAUAGGAUUAUUUAAAAUUUUAAAAAUUAACAAUAAUAUUAUAUUUAGAGAGGAAAUUAUUUCAUCCGAAAAUAAUACAAAGAGGAACUUCGUUUCAUUAUUUCAUCUCCUAUAUGAAUUCGAGAUAAAAUUAUUUUAUUGCCUAAACAUUAUUAGUUUUUUAAGAUGAAAUCAUUUUGUCUCCAAUUGUAAUUGAAACAUUUAGAGACAAAAUUUGUUUGUUACUCAAACUAUCUGUCAACAUUUUGGGACAAAAAUAGUUUCUCCCCAAAUGUAAGUGGAAGUAUAUGGAGAUAAAAUUAUUUCGUUGUAGAAACUAUGGGUUAACAUGAUGGAGAUGAAAAAAUUGUCUCCUAAUAUAUGAAGUAACAUUUAGAGACAAAAUUUGUUUGUUACCCAAACUAAUUGUCAACAAUUUGAGACGAAAAUAUUUCCUCCCCAAAUGUAAGUCGAAAUAUAUGGAGAUAAAAUUAUUUCGUUGUAGAAACCAUGUGUCAACAUAAUGGAGAUGAAAAUAGUUUGUCUCCUAAUGUACAAGGUAACAUGUAGUGACAAAAUUUUUUUGUUGCCAAAUGAAAUAUUUUGUUACCAAAUAGUUUACUCGAUAUUUGAAAAUCUAAUUCCAAACGAAACAUUUUAUCUUAGGCCACAAAAAAAACUCGUUUCCAAAUAGUGUCGGCCACAAAAUUUUGUUUUGUCAUAAAUAUAUUUUCGUAACAAACGUUAAUUAUUCGUCUCCAAAAACAUAGGGUGACACAAAUAUCGAGACAAUGAACGAGACGAAACUUUUCGUUAGGAAAGCCUUUUGGCUACAAAAGGCAUAUUGUUGGAGACAAAACAUUUCAUCCAUGAUCAUGUACUUUGUUGUAGUGAGGUACGACUGGCACCUACUCCUAUCCAACCAUCUUUUUGGCCCUUACCAAUCGCGUGAGACCUGCAUGACACAACGCUGAAUGUUAGAAAACAGUCACCCGACCCUUCCGCCAACAGGCAUUACCCCAAAUAUGCAGCAAGCAGCUAUGACGGAUCUUAAGUCCACACCUAGGCAAGAUACCUAGUCAUGUUUGCUAGGAAAGCCCCAACCGUGGACUUCCCCGCCAUAACACUACAAUGAACACAAACCAUAAGGCCUGGAGAUAUCCCUAAAGGGACCGACAAAUAGGAGACAUGGAAAAAAACCCUAAUUCUAACAAAGACUCCCAAUCCUACCACUAACGGCGACUGCCCUCCCCAAAAAAUACCAAAACCCCACACUAUGGACUCCACAACAUCCAUUUCAUACCCAGAAAGCCCUAAAAUGUAGAAACAAUCCCAAAAUAACAAGCGGACCAACCAAGUAAACAAAAACGAAAAAAAAAGCUAAUACAAAGGAAAAAUGGGCUUAUUAGAACCUAGAAAGGAGUCCGCUAGCAAAGGAUGAGGCUCGCCUGAAGUAGGACAGGAAAGAACAAUGGAUUUGAAAAAAAAAAUGAAUUGCGACCGGAGUUUCAAGCAAGAGAGUACAAAAGGAUAGAAGAAGAAAAAGGGCUCCAAAAGCGAAAAAUGUUCAAAAGGUGACCCAAGGGGUCUAGAAUCCCUUAUUUAUAGGGGACCAAAACCCUAGGGAUCUUAAAAGACACAUUACUUGAAAGCACAUCUCGAGGUGAUGUGCCUCCUGACAAUGACCUCGGCAAAAACAACCCUCAUUAAAACCUCCAAGCAAGAUGUGUCCCACAAACAUUGGGGGAAUUUGAAGAGACAUUUUAACUUGCCACCUCUGUCUGGACAUAGGUGCACGUGUUAAAGGGGCAUUGUGAGGACCUUCCUCCACGUGUUAGUCCACGUGUCAGUCCCCUCGAUACUAUCUAGAUAACACGAGCACCUUUCAAGCAGCAUCGGACUCCCUAAGCGCACAAUGACUUCCAAUCGACCUUCAAGUCCUCCUUGCUACGUGAAAUGAUUUCCAUCUGAAAUGGGAAUGAUUGAUGAGAACUUCUCCCAUCCUCACGUCUACAUUAGUGGAUUGUCACACACUAUCCCAUACCCUCAGUAGGUUGAAAUGAUGGGCAGCUACAUCAUGACGCACCAUCUGACUACACUGCCAGCUGCUCUAAAUUGCAAUGAUUGCCCUGCCACUUACAUAACAACCAUCAUUGUAGUAAAAUUCAAAGUGCCAGCUCAGCACUACAGUGCCUCCCCCCUUGAGCAUUAUAAAAAGCCCUCCUGAAGCAUAACCUAGGUGGGCACUUUUAAGCUAGUUACCUCACUUUCCUCUAAAGAGGGUUUCAAUCCACCUGUGUCUAACUUAAGCUUUGGAGGGGCUUGCCCAGAGACCCUGUCCGAAUAUCCUUUGUGCAGGGAAGAGGUUCACUCAGUCUACUGUUGUUGGGUAGAGGUUCUAAGUGGCACAACAUAAGGAGGAUCUGACUCUAGUUGACCUUGCAUCAUCAGUAAUCAUAUAACGUAGGAUUGUGUUUAGACUUGGGAAUGGUAGGUAAGAGCACUUGGAAAGGAAUUAGUUGGUUUGAAUUGUUAUUUGGUUUCUAUAUUAAAGAAUUGAAUUUGGAAAGGGAUUUUUAAACAUUCAAAUGGAGAAAACAUGACUCAAAUUUUAUUAUUUCUUUUCAUACUGAUUUUUAUAUUAUUUUAAAAAUCCAAUUAAAAUCUUAAGGCUUUUUUUAAGACAUAAAGUAGAAUUUUGUUGAAAAAAAAACCAAAUUUACAAUAUUGUUAUAUUUGAUUAAUUCCACAGAUUUUUUAAGACAUAAAGUAGAUUUUUAUUGAAAAAACAUAAAAUUUAAAAUAUUAUUACAUUUGAUUAAAAUUAAUUAAUCAAAUUUCACAAUUUUUUUUUUUUUAUAGUUUUAAGACAUAAAAAAAGAGUAAAGAUUGUUUAAAAAAAAUCUACUUUAUGUCUAAAAAAGGCAAAAUGCUACACUCACUCCCUAAUAUUUUUCAUUGAAUUUCAAAAAAUAAUAAAAAAUAUUAUGAAAAGAAAUAAUGUAAAUGAAAAAAAUGGGAAACUUGUGUUUUAAAGCCCUUAUUUAUAAAAUAUAUGGUAUUCAGACCCCAAGUUUAUGAAAUAUGAAAAGUAAUCAUUAAUGGGCAAAAUAAUAUGAGAAGUGUGCACUCUAUGCUGAGUCAAUUUUGUCUGCCCAAAUUGCCCUAGAUGUUUGCUACAUCAGCAGCCAAAUAGCCUCUACGUCAUACUUAAAUAAAUAAAAAAAAUGAAACUUGACAAUUACAAAAAAAAAAAAAAAAAACCACCUAACUGGACUUUGGUUGUCCCCUUCUCUCUCUCUCAUUUUAGCAAAAAAAAAAACCUUGAGUCGAUCAACAUUUAACUUUCUUCUCAGAAACUCCCGUAACCCUAAAUCUGCAUUUUAGUUUGUCAGCAACCAAAUCGGAGAUUUUCCCUAAGCUGGAAUCUUAAAAACUUGCCAUUUUAGAAGGUCAUUUGAAAUCUGAAUCGGCUAAAACCUUCAUGUCUAACAAACCAAACUGAUACCCUUCUUCCCGGAUUCUCAGACUUCUUUGUUUGUCUCUUAAUAUCCUAAUUAGCCAAACCUGUUUUUCUCUUAACAUCCUAAAUAGCUGAAGUUGAUGCCCAUCUUCCAAAUACCUUGAAAUAAAC